Molecule: unclassified non-coding RNA, 322 nt
Filed under: uncultured fungus
Lineage: Eukaryota; Fungi
Description: partial contains 5.8S ribosomal RNA and internal transcribed spacer 2
Rfam family: 5.8S ribosomal RNA (bases 1-133)
Source: RNAcentral
UGGUUCUGGCAUCGAUGAAGAACGCAGCGAAAUGCGAUAAGUAAUGCGAAUUGCAGAAUUCAGUGAGUCAUCGAAUCUUUGAACGCAUAUUGCGCCCUUUGGUAUUCCGAAGGGCAUGCCUGUUCGAGCGUCAUUAUCAACUAUCAAGCCUGGCUUGUUGUUAGACUUUUGGUUAUAGGACCGGUCUGAAAAAUAGCAGAUGGGAUCUGGUAGCCCUUGAUAUAAUAAGCUGUUUAUAGCACAUAUCUAUAGGCUAGCAGGCCUAUCUUUAAACCCAAAAUUCUCUAAAAAGGACCUCGGAUCAGGUAGGAAUACCCGCUGA